GUGCGGGCACCCCGGGGCAGAGUACCGUGAACCGUGUCAGGCGAGGAAUCGAGCAGCACUAAGCGUGUCCGAUGUGUCCGGCGGAAUGCCCGUAUACC
RNAcentral lists this signal recognition particle RNA (98 nucleotides) under Ruminococcus sp. Its description in RNAcentral is "signal recognition particle sRNA small type". It matches the Rfam family "Bacterial small signal recognition particle RNA". Rfam says of the family: The signal recognition particle (SRP) is a universally conserved ribonucleoprotein involved in the co-translational targeting of proteins to membranes. Archaeal SRP consists of a 7S RNA and homologues of the eukaryotic SRP19 and SRP54 proteins. The record is from RNAcentral. Lineage: Bacteria; Bacillati; Bacillota; Clostridia; Eubacteriales; Oscillospiraceae.